RNAcentral lists this transfer RNA (69 nucleotides) under Cophixalus sp. TNHC 54754. RNAcentral's name for it is "tRNA-His". RNAcentral also lists the same sequence under 1 other name. The record is from RNAcentral. Lineage: Eukaryota; Metazoa; Chordata; Amphibia; Anura; Microhylidae.
GUAAACAUAAUUUAAUUAAAAUACUAGGUUGUGGUCCUAGACAUGAAGAUUGACCCCCUUCUGUUCACC